This 408-nucleotide small RNA is filed under the name uncultured bacterium. RNAcentral describes it as "bacterial SSU rRNA". It matches the Rfam family "Bacterial small subunit ribosomal RNA", at positions 1129 to 1533 of the family's 1533-position model. The record is from RNAcentral.
GGGUGGGCACUCUAAGGAGACUGCCGGUGACAAACCGGAGGAAGGUGGGGAUGACGUCAAGUCAUCAUGGCCCUUACGAGUAGGGCUACACACGUGGUACAAUGGUCGGUACAAAGGGUUGCAAGCCGCGAGGUGGAGCUAAUCCCAUAAAACCGAUCGUAGUCCGGAUCGCAGUCUGCAACUCGACUGCGUGAAGUCGGAAUCGCUAGUAAUCGUGAAUCAGAAUGUCACGGUGAAUACGUUCCCGGGCCUUGUACACACCGCCCGUCACACCAUGGGUGUGGGUUGCUCCAGAAGUAGCUAGUCUAACCGCAAGGGGGACGGUUACCACGGAGUGAUUCAUGACUGGGGUGAAGUCGUAACAAGGUAGCCGUAGGGGAACCUGCGGCUGGAUCACCUCCUUAAUCG